Molecule: long non-coding RNA, 1330 nt
Organism: Numida meleagris (helmeted guineafowl)
Lineage: Eukaryota; Metazoa; Chordata; Aves; Galliformes; Numididae
Exons: 5
Source: RefSeq, a predicted model, not a curated record
AAUCUUCCAGUGUUCUCUGCAAACACAUGCACUAGCGUGGGUAACUGCAGUUGGAUUUUAGCGAAGUCUGCUCGGUUUGGUGAAAACAGUGCGGUGCGUCGGGAUGGAGAGAGCAGCAGUAAGGAGAAGCAGGGAGCAGCGCGUGCUGCUUGCCCCAGAGCCUUCCCGCUGCCGGCUGGAGCGCCUGAGCUAACGCGUGCAGGCCGCGCGGGAGGAAAGGCCUCGGCAGCGCGGCUCCUCCUCGCCUUGGGGCACGAGCCGUGGUCUCGCGCACAGCUGUGAAGGACCGAGGCUUGCGCGGGAGUGUGAAACGCCCUCACCGGCCUGAAAGGGGGUAAGGAGGAACGCAGCCGUGCCGUCUGACUUCCUUGAGUUUGAAUUUUCUCCAAGUGAGUAAGUGAAGCAGAACAGGAAGUCUUGAAAGCAUUUGUUCUCUUGCUUGUCUAAACUUGGCUGCCCUGCAGUGCUAAAAUCCCAGAUCAACAGCUGAAGAGAGGAUAGCUGUCCCAAGACAAAUGAGUGCAUGGACAAAGUAAUUCAUUGUGAAUGGUGCAUUGCUGCAGUAAGAAAGUGAAGGACAACAUCAGACCAACUGUGAUCUGACCAGCAGCAGUGCUACCUCAUCAGACUGCAGCAGACAGCAAACAAGGAAGCGGGCACAUUUGCCAUUUGUAUGAAUAGCUUUGCAAGGCAACCCAACUCCUUUCAAAAAGAGGGUGGCUGCACGGGACCAGCCUUUUGGAAAUUGUCACUGGAAGGCUCCAGCGCCCAGCCCUGGUCUGUGAAUUAUUUGGGAGAGUGAGAAGUGGCCUAAGCCAGGAACGUUCCCUUGAGUACUUUAACAGUAUUACAGGGCCAUAUUUGUUGCAUUGGGAAUGGAAUAAUUAACUAGUAGAGAUGUAGCCCCAAGUACUGUUUGGAAGAAAUUUCACUGCCUUGCAUAAACAUGAUAGUCACUAAUAAUUAACACUUCGGUUUGUGUUUUCAAUGGUUAAUGAAAGUAGACAUCAUAAAGUGCUUUGAAAUCUAAUGAUAAUAAGCUACAAUGCUGUCUGAUGUUAAUUAUGGAAGUAAAAAUAUAUUUGAGACCUAUGUUGCUGUACCAUCAUUGCAAGUGACACAAAUUCUUCUUUAGAUGGUUUCUUUGUUGCUGCUUUUGCUCAGAUCCCUCAGGAUACUUUAUCGCUCAGCUUACAAGCAUUGUUCCAAAUGUUUGUUGUUUUUUUUCCUGAUGAAUGGAAUAGCUAGGAAAUGAACGCUUCGAACUGACAGUUGAAUCUUGACAUCCCUGAGAACCUCAUGUGUUUGCACUACUUUGUAGGAAAUUGCA